RNAcentral lists this ribosomal RNA (476 nucleotides) under uncultured bacterium. RNAcentral describes it as "partial 16S ribosomal RNA". It matches the Rfam family "Bacterial small subunit ribosomal RNA", at positions 28 to 523 of the family's 1533-position model. The record is from RNAcentral.
GACGAACGCUGGCGGCGUGCUUAACACAUGCAAGUCGAACGGUAAGGCCCUUCGGGGUACACGAGUGGCGAACGGGUGAGUAACACGUGGGUGAUCUGCCCUGCACUUCGGGAUAAGCCUGGGAAACUGGGUCUAAUACCGGAUAGGACCAUGCGCUCCACGGUGUGUGGUGGAAAGCUUUUGCGGUGUGGGAUGGGCCCGCGGCCUAUCAGCUUGCUGGUGGGGUAAUGGCCUACCAAGGCGACGACGGGUAGCCGGCCUGAGAGGGUGACCGGCCACACUGGGACUGAGAUACGGCCCAGACUCCUACGGGAGGCAGCAGUAGGGAAUAUUGCGCAAUGGGCGAAAGCCUGACGCAGCAACGCCGCGUGAGUGAUGAAGGAUUUCGGUUCGUAAAGCUCUGAUGCAGGGGAAAAAGAAAGUGAUUGUACUCUGCGAGAAAGGGACGGCAAACUUCGUGCCAGCAGCCGCGGUAA